This 360-nucleotide transfer-messenger RNA is filed under the name Moraxellaceae. Its description in RNAcentral is "CAJXOR01 sp913057715 Standard tmRNA". It matches the Rfam family "transfer-messenger RNA". From Rfam's summary of the family: Bacterial tmRNA, also known as 10Sa RNA or SsrA, is named for its dual tRNA and mRNA-like properties. Its role is to liberate the mRNA from a stalled ribosome. To accomplish this part of the tmRNA is used as a reading frame that ends in a translation stop signal. Lineage: Bacteria; Pseudomonadati; Pseudomonadota; Gammaproteobacteria; Moraxellales. RNAcentral also lists the same sequence under 1 other name. The record is from RNAcentral.
GGGGAUGUUCUGGCUUCGACGCUGGUGAUGAAACUCAAUGAUGCAUGUCAAGUGGCUAUGAUCACUUGUCAAAAAAUCAUAGAAUUUUAUAGUCGCAAACGACGAAACCUACGCUCUAGCAGCCUAAGGGCUGCUUUGCCGCUGAUGAGUGUGUCUGUAAACUCUGAUGCCGCACGAAGCGAACGCUUACAGAAUCGCCUAAGCCGCUGUCUCAGCAGUAAGGGUUAAAACUAUCGAGGCUCGCCUGAAGUAACCUGACCGUUGGUUCACUAAAGGUUAAAACCGAUAACGGAGUCUAAACAUGUAGACUCAUGAGUGUAAUGCCGGCGGACGCGGGUUCGACUCCCGCCAUCUCCACCA